GACGAACGCUGGCGGCGUGCUUAACACAUGCAAGUCGAACGGAAAGGCCCUGCUUUUGUGGGGUGCUCGAGUGGCGAACGGGUGAGUAACACGUGAGUAACCUGCCCUGGACUUUGGGAUAACUUCAGGAAACUGGGGCUAAUACCGGAUAGGAGCUCCUGCUGCAUGGUGGGGGUUGGAAAGUUUGGGCGGUUGGGGAUGGACUCGCGGCUUAUCAGCGUGUUGGUUGGGUAGUGGCUUACCAAGGCUUUGACGGGUAGCCGGCCUGAGAGGGUGACCGGCCACAUUGGGACUGGGGUACGGCCCAGACUCCUCCGGGGGGCAGCAGUGGGGAAUAUUGCACCAUGGGCGGAAGCCUGAUGCAGCCACGCCGCGUGCGGGAUGACGGCCUUCGGGUUGUAGACCGCUUUCGCCUGUGACGAAGCGUGAGUGACGGUAAUGGGUAAAGAAGCACCGGCUAACUCCGUG
RNAcentral lists this ribosomal RNA (468 nucleotides) under uncultured bacterium. RNAcentral's name for it is "partial 16S ribosomal RNA". It matches the Rfam family "Bacterial small subunit ribosomal RNA", at positions 28 to 507 of the family's 1533-position model. The record is from RNAcentral.